RNAcentral lists this ribosomal RNA (981 nucleotides) under uncultured organism. Its description in RNAcentral is "bacterial SSU rRNA". It matches the Rfam family "Bacterial small subunit ribosomal RNA", at positions 427 to 1411 of the family's 1533-position model. The record is from RNAcentral.
AAACUCCUGUCAAGAGGGAAUAAGCAAGUGAAGGUACCUCUAGAGGAAGGGGCGGCUAAUUCCGUGCCAGCAGCCGCGGUAACACGGAAGCCCCGAGCGUUGUUCGGAUUCAUUGGGCGUAAAGGGUGCGUAGGCGGCGCGGAAAGUCCGGCGUGAAAGGCAGGGGCUCAACCUCUGGACUGCGUUGGAUACUUCCGUGCUUGAGGACUGGAGGGGAGACUGGAAUUCACGGUGUAGCAGUGAAAUGCGUAGAUAUCGUGAGGAAGACCGGUGGCGAAGGCGAGUCUCUGGACAGAUCCUGACGCUGAGGCACGAAGGCUGGGGGAGCGAACAGGAUUAGAUACCCUGGUAGUCCCAGCAGUAAACGAUGUGAGCUUGAUGUGGGGGGAUUCGACCCCUUCCGUGUCGAAGCUAACGCGAUAAGCUCACCGCCUGAGGAGUACGGCCGCAAGGCUAAAACUCAAAGAAAUUGACGGGGACCCGCACAAGCGGUGGAGUAUGUGGCUUAAUUCGAUGCAACGCGAAGAACCUUACCUGGCCUUGACAUGCAUUGUGUCGUCGGUGAAAGCCGGCUAGUCCUGGAAACAGGACGCUUUGCACAGGUGCUGCAUGGCUGUCGUCAGCUCGUGUCGUGAGAUGUUGGGUUAAGUCCCGCAACGAGCGCAACCCUUGUGGUCAGUUACUAACCGGCUUAGCCGGAGGACUCUGGCCAGACUGCCCUGUCAAACGGGGAGGAAGGUGGGGACGACGUCAAGUCAGUAUGGCCCUUAUGGCCAGGGCCGCACACGUACUACAAUGCCCGGUACAAUGUGAACCGAAACCGCGAGGUGGAGGAAAUCGCUCUUGAAAACCGGGCCCAGUUCGGAUUGGAGUCUGCAACUCGACUCCAUGAAGUCGGAAUCGCUAGUAAUGGCGUAUUAGCAACGACGCCGUGAAUACGUUCCCGGGUCUUGUACACACCGCCCGUCACAUCAUGGAAGU